UCCUUUCCUCCCACUCACUUUGGGCAUCUCAUUAUCAUGUGUUUACUAGUAGAAACAUCAACAGACGGGGAACAGGAACCCAGCUGAGAGGAGAGCGUUUCCAGGGGAGCUGACAGACAACCUGGCUCUCUAGUGGCUGGUGCCCCAUCGCCGUUCAGCCCCAUCCCAGGCCAUGCGUGUGUGACGCUGAUUAGAGCCUUGACGGAAACCUCAGCCAGUAGUCUGCGAAAUGAGAAGAGGUGAUUCCACACGCCGGGAAGUCUACAAGCCCUCUGUAUCUGAUAGGGUGCUGUGAUAUACAGGAAACAACAUGAUAUGUAUCUAUUCAUUUGGUUAUUAACUGCACUAUAAGUAUUUUUCUAUCUGUAAAAAAGCAUUCUACUGGAAAACAUGAUGGUGAAAUGCGAAAAGCAGGGAUUUAUCAGCUCAACACUUGCGACUCAUCUGAAACACCCUGUGACUCUGUGAUGUUCUCCUGACCCUGGUAGAACAUUUGUUUGAAUGAUGAAGUACCAAGCCCCUGGCAGAGGCUGCCUCUUUAAAGUACAUCUUGUUCAAGUCCAAGGUGAGAGGCGUGAAGGAGUGCUGUAGAUGAGGAGCCCAGUGGCAAGCUGGGAUGGGGCGUGUGGCCUGCGCUUUCUCAGCACCCCGUUUGAAGCUCUGACGCGGGCCCCCCUGUUCUCCCCUGGCCCCCUCAGGGCACAGAUGGACAACACGUCUGGGGCAAAAAGGGGAGGGGAUGAGUAAUUGCCAUGCGAAAAGAGGAGAUCGGGCUCGCCCCUCUGAUGAGCUAAAUUGAAUAAAGGGGCAGGAAUGCGAUCCAGAUCUAUUCUAAUGCCCCCUCAAUGCUGUUUCAAUUAUCGGCAUUGGGAGUUCAAAGGGGAGGCCCCAAUACACUUCUGCUCCACAUGAAGCAGCUCUCAUCACUUAACCUCAUGCCAUUGUUGUGCCUCCUUUUUACGCUCAGUCACUCUCUCUCACCCUUUCCUUCUCUCUCUGGCUCAACUGCAUUCAUGCUUUACAUUAAACAGACAGUGAACACCAUGCCAUCACCACCAGUAAGCCCCAUAAUUCAAAGACUAGGAACUUUUUUUAUUGCCAACUGUACCUUUCACCAAAGUCAUGGUGUUACUUGACGUUCAUUUUUUCCAUCCUGUUUUUUGUCUUAGUGAAACUACAGUUGCAUGUACUCUGGUUAUUUAUUUCACUAUGUUUUACUUUGAGAUGGCUGUUUGCUUUUUUUGCUUCAUGGUUAGCUACGUCUUCUUCUGCAUGAAGCCCAAGUCUACCCUACUGUUAGUCACUAGGCCAUCAGACAGACCCUUCUGGGUAUUGAAGGAAUAGUUCACCCAAAGUUUGGCAGACAUUUUCAUACCUCAAACGUGGUUUGAAGUCAAACGGAACCCAUUUCCACACCAUCUGUUGUCUAUAGGCAUCAGGAGAGGUCUCAGUCCUCAGUGAACUGGCACAGGAUUGGCAUGGUAAAGUUGGAACACUAUUGAAGUAUAAAAACAUCUAACAAACUAAGAUUUUGGGUGAACUAUUAAGUUUAAACUGAAGUGAAACGUAAGAUCAGUGCUCUCCAGAUGAGCCAGUAGAACAUGAGUAAAUCAGUAAGAAUAUUGUUAUGGCAAAUAGAAAUCAAACCUGGAUGGUUUUCAAAGAUAGAUGGGUGUCAAGCCCUGAUCUGUUUCACCUGUUCUUGUGGUUGUCUCCAUCUCCUCCAGGUGUCGCUUAUUUUCCCCAGUGUAUUUAUCCCAGUGUUUCCUGUCUUUCUGUGCCAGUUCGUCUUGUUAUUUUUAAAGUCAACCAGUGUGUUUUCCUGUGCUCCUGUUUUCUAUUCUCUUUUUCUAUUCUUCCCGGUUUUGACCCUUGCCUGUUUUUUCUGGACUUCAUACCUGCCUGCCUGACACUUCUGCCUGCUCUGACAUCGAGCCUGUCUGCCACUCUUUACCUCUUGGACUCAGAAUCUGGUAUUGGCCUUUUUCCUGUCCACGACCAUUCUCUUGCCUACUCUUUUUGGAUCAUAAAUAAACUACAAAGACUCUAA
Oncorhynchus nerka (sockeye salmon) is the source of this 2050-nucleotide long non-coding RNA. RefSeq lists it as uncharacterized. The transcript has 2 exons. NCBI's taxonomy places the organism in Eukaryota, Metazoa, Chordata, Actinopteri, Salmoniformes, Salmonidae. The record is from RefSeq and is a predicted model, not a curated record.